CGGGGCCGGCGCGAUCCCGCGGCGCUUCGCUCGAGGCUCUGGGAUUGUCUCGGGCUGGUUUUGGGUGCGGGUUUUGGGUGUCUGCGCACACCCUGCCCUGGUCACAGCCCUGCCUCAGCUCGCUGCACUCCCCGCACCCCUCGCUCAGCUCCGCGGGGAUUUGUGCCUCCUCUGAAAGUGGGGAAUGUCUGCAAAGGAAGUCGGGAAGCCGCUCCCAGUGUUUCUUUUCCAGCCUUUUCUGCCCAGCACCGCAGUGGUCGACAAGGAAACCAGAAAAGCAGGAAAAGAAAAAAAAAACCCAAACCGCACCGUGCCAACCCCCAGCUCCUCCCGCUUCUUUCUGGGAGAAGACUGGAUUAAUCUAAAUCAAUAUAUAGCAUUUAUGUAUUUUCCUUACAGUCUGUACAGUUUAGAAGUAAGGAAGUUACACACACCACAGCUUUGUCUGCCUACCCUCAAAAAGCCACGUACUGUGUUUUCUCCCUGUGUAGCUCUUGUUUAGAGAUGCAACAAAAAUUAAAUGACUUGUAAUUUAAGAUCAGACCCAAGAUCUCUCCCUCUCUUGUCUCUCAAAUACACACGGACACGAAUUUUGCUUUGCUGUUAUUCACCAGGUUUGGAGGGAGGAUUUUUAAUGCAGAUGGAGCUUGUGCCACAUCUUUGCCAAGUACCUCAAUCUGCCAGUGUUUAAUUGUCACUUCUGAUCCACAAGAAGCCCCAGAGGUGAUGACCAGCUUAGCUCUCCAGCUCUCCCUGGUCAGAGCUAAAAGACAAGCGUUGUAAAGAUAACAGAGAAAUUUGGUUUCAGAAGUAAAAAUUCAAAAAGACAGAAGUCAAGGGGCUUAGUAGAAUUUCAGAACCGACUCUUGGUUUUACUUCUUUCGCCCUUUAAAGACAGGAUGAAGAUGAUGUAGCUGAAAUUCACAGUAAUUUACUCUCUGGAUUUUCACUGUUCCUUCGCUGCUCCCGAUUCCCUCCUGCUUCCAACAGUGCCUGAGUAGAGUAAAAUACCUAAAAAACUUCAGGAGUGUGGCCCAGAACCACCAGACUGCAGACCCAUUUCUUCCUGCCCGGAGAGGUUGUGCAAUGUACUUUGAAGAUUAAUACCUUAAGAAGUGUGAGCUGCUCCUGUAAUUACACGCUCCAGCCAGGACAGCUGGGAAUUCCAUGCUCAUGAGCACCAGCAGAGCAGCCACUCACCUGCACGUCCCCUCUGGGGCCUGAGAACUUACCUGCUGCAGAGCCAAAGGGCUUGUACCCACCAGGACACAACUUCACAAGUUCUGGAACCUGGGUGAGAGUUUAUAGGUUGAUCUGCUCAGUGUUCUGAGAGGAACUGUUUUGUUUUUGAUUGCCAAGGAUCGUGGUGUUAUUCUCAAUGAGGCGGAGAAGGCACAGUCACCACAAUCUCACUGAUCCUGGAGAUAUUGUCUCCUUCCUACUCUGUUUUCAUCCCAUUCCUUCCAAAGGACCAAAGCUUUCCAGCUUUCAACACAGGACCGACAGGGUUGCAUGACUUGGCAGGAUGAGAUGGCACAUUGCUGCAGGAACACUGGCAAAGGCUGUCUGAUAACCCACCUACAAGAUGUCCUUGCCUUAGGAAGCCAGUCUCUUUCCAGAAAAAACAACUUCUGUGGCUGAUCUGUCAGCUAACUUGGGUGUGAGAGCAUCAGCCAAAAGCCUUUCCUUCCCCUCUUCCCUAUUUGCACCUUUCCCCCAACCUCCAUCUCAUAUUCCUGCUAGAGAAGGUGGCCACUCUUUCCAUGUGGAAGUAAAAAUAGGGAAUAACCUUUUCUUUUGCUCCAAGACAGGUUGCUUAACUACCUGCCUCUUGCCCUGAAAAAUAGGCUUUAUUAUUUAUUUAUUAUUUUUAAAGUUUGUUUAGCACAAAUACUCUGCUCAAUAUCUUGUAUUUUUUUCUCCUGAGCAUCCCAAUUGAUAUCUUUCCCAUUUUGGCCUGAAUUUUCUCACAGAGGCAGUACCGAGCAAGGUGAAAACUAUGAUCUCAAAAUCUUUAAAACUUCUUGUAACCAAGUUCAGAUGACUGGAUUUUCCAAGCCCUUUACCUGGUGGGAACUAGAACAACGGGGCACCCAACUCUUUACUGCUCACACAAGGCAUCUGCAUCAACGUAUUUUGGCAUUAGCUGACACUGUGGGUUAUAAAAAUAACCUGCAAUAACUGUCAUGAGUUUUUAUUCAAACUGGAACCAAUCAUUCAGUAAGGAAUUCUUAGCCUCAUGCAAAUUAUGCUGCAAUCACGGGGAAUCAAUGGAAUGACUUCCUUUGGCUUCAGGUGGCCUGGAAUCAGGUGGCGUGCAUGGCAUUAAAAAUGAAGGAUGGAGCUCAAAAUUCAAAAGAACUCCCAUUAAUAGUCGGUUUCUUCUUCCAAAAGGCCUGUUGGGCUAAAAAAAGAAGGUUUAAAAAAAGAACUUUGGUUUUUCUCCGCUGGACUAAAAAUGGCAUAUUGUGUUUGGUCAUGGAAUAAACAGUGCUCAAAUGUGCAAAAGAAUUGAACCACAGUUUGAAUGGAAUUCGUAUAAAUUUUAAGACAGGGUUUCUUCAGCGGCAAGAGGAAGAAAAGUUGUUUACUCUGAAAACUUCAGAGGUAAAUAUAAAUGCACUCAAGUGACCUAUGGAACUUCAGGAGAGGUCAGACUCCUGAGGUAUCAGGAUGAAAAGUAAAUUGUCAUUGCUAAUUGGAAAUCACCACAGCCAAAAGGAUCAUUAACAGCUCAGGACCACAGAGCAUGGGAGGGUUUAAAAAUAGAAAUGUGUCCGUGCCUUGACGUGAGACUUAUUCAUCCUUAAGCUAUUUGAGACUGCAAAAUAUUUGUAGGACAGUAUCUUAGAAACACAAUGACAUAGAAAUCCAGAAGAUUUAGACUCCUACUGGCCACACAACAGGGUGGGUAUGAUUUCCUCCCCGGAUGCACCAACUGACAUUGUCUCUUUGCUACAAACUUUGGAUGGCAAAAAGCAAACUGUGAUUUAGCAACGGUUCAAAAAUGAUCUGUAGAUGGCUCUGUAGAGCCAUUUCCAGCAGUAAUCUUUCCUAUUGUCUGCAUUUCCUCUCUUGGGCCAAGCAAACUGGUAUAAUGACUUUCCUCUUUAAUACAUUAGGACUUUGGGUUUGGGAUUUUUUUUUCCUCUCUUCGAUCAAAGCAGGGCUGGGAAGUGGGGUUUUGUACUUACAGCUUUGGGGCAGAAGCAGGCCAAGAACAGGUUGAAUGCAUGUUCUGGAGAUACUGUCAUAUCAAUACAGAAUCCAGCUGUAUUUUUACAAAUAAAAUAUUUGUUUUGCUGUCUUUCAUCCAAGCUGGCCCAUACAGUCCCUGGGAGUCACAGUGAGGAAUGUUCAGGUAUCCCUUGGUCACUUCCAGAUCCCUGCUUCUCUGUUUUAAGUUUAUUUUUUUCCCCUGCUCUCUUCCAGUGAAUCCUUAUUAGCAUAAUCCUGCCUCAGAUUUGCUAUUGCUAAAAACCAAACUUGUUUCUACUCACAUCCCAAAUAUGAGAAAACUUUCAGGAGAAGUACCACAACCAACCACAGUGGAAGCCUGUUUUUGGAAGGCAUUAUCUUAUAUCUAACAAGGUCUUGUUUACUAUUUUUUCUUUAAGAACUGACAAACCCAAACAGUUACCAACUGGGCUGUGAUUUACCUGCUUCUGGUGUUCAUUUCCUCAGAACAAAAUUCCCACCUUCCAACUAAAUGUCACGAGUUAGAGUGUUUCACAUUUUCUGGCUAGAAAAGGAGGAUUGGCACGAAGCCUCAUGCUUUGCCUUCUCACAGAACAGUUAAAUGGGAGAAGAUGAAAAAAUUUCAACCAGCAAAUCAAGUUCUGAGCCCAGCUUUGCCUGUGAAGGUCCCUCAAGGCAGCAAAAGUGUGACAUCCACUCUGCUUCCCUUCAAAGGAAUCCCUGAGCUUCAUUCCUUUGGUUUCACCAUUCCACUCUUAGUAAUUAAUCCACUUUUCAAAUUAAAAGAACGGAGCAAUUAGCAUUCUCCCUCGUUAGGAGCCCAUUUCAAUUGUCCUAGUGAAAGCUCCUACAUGUUAUGCUCUGCUAAAUGCCAAAGAUUAAAUCAGAAGAAAAUGAAAGCUCCCAGGCUAAGAGCCAUCACUUAAUAUUUAGUGUCUACAGUGCAGCCAAAAACUCCCUCUGUGCUCCUGGAGACAGAAGGAUUUCAGGGGGGAUUCACUUUAUCUCCAUGUGGGUCUUCCAAGCAGCUCAAAACCCCAGAUGUACCUUUGGCUUUGUUAGGAGGAUGUCUGUACACUCAGAGCACAAGGAGAGCUGGGAACAGAACCUGUCCCACAGGAGAAACUCUUGCAUAUUUAAGUUUAUUUCAAAUAAGUGUUCAAAGGAAAAGAAAAAACCCAAUAAACCAAAAAAACAAACCAAAACCAAAAUAAAACAGAUUUAGUAUAUAUUUGCUUUUCUUAAAAAAAAUGAUUCCAUGAAAGAAUUUUAUAGAUAUCUAAGUAGUAGUACAGAUUUUUAUAUACAAAAUUCCAUUUCCAACAAUUUACUGUACAAAAGAAAGUAUAAGCAACUUUUACUAUUUCAUGAUUUCAGCAAAUAAUGAAAAACUCUGCUAAGUAUGUGUUCAGGAUAUAGUUCUAUCAUUUACAGGAAUGUCAGUAUUAAGUUGGGAAUACUUUCAGGUGAGUAUUUACAGAUUAAAUCCCCCUUCAAGGACGUUCCCUAAGAUUUCUCUUCAGAACAGGUAGUUCAGGUUUGUCUUUCUUCUGGAUCUUUUGGGCUACCAAGGAAUGAGAGGAAGAACAUGUUUUCAACAAGAUGUGUGGACAGAAUUCUGCUUGAAUUAUUCCCACUCACAGUCCUUUUGCAGUCAGUGGGCCUGAUCUGGUAAAACACUCACUACCAGGAAUAACACUUACGUGGGAAUAAAUCAGGCAGGAUUUGGCCCUCCAGUAACACACUAUCAUAAGUUACAAAUUUUAAAAAUAGUGACAUUCCUGCAAGUCAAAAUACAACAGAAACAAGAG
Molecule: long non-coding RNA, 5009 nt
Organism: Pseudopipra pipra
Lineage: Eukaryota; Metazoa; Chordata; Aves; Passeriformes; Pipridae
Exons: 2
Source: RefSeq, a predicted model, not a curated record